Molecule: long non-coding RNA, 1695 nt
Filed under: Triticum aestivum (bread wheat)
Lineage: Eukaryota; Viridiplantae; Streptophyta; Magnoliopsida; Poales; Poaceae
Description: long non-coding RNA (TAES_LNC014902)
Source: RNAcentral
UUGGAUUAUUCUGAUUACUGUUCUAACCUCUCACCUCUAUCACUUGGUUCCAGCCUUCCAGGGCACGACCGACUAUGGUUUCGAGAUCUUGAUGCUGAAUGAAAAAAGGAUAGAUCAACCAAGAACUCCACCAAUGGAUAGUACCAUCAACAUGCCCUCAAUUUGACAGUAUAGUGAUGGCCGAACAUCGAUUAGCAGUUUACCUUGGUUUCUCUGAACAUUUCAUACAAUUGUAUGCAGUUUCCUUGAGAAUGGCCUUUCAGUUCAAAGUAGUGCUAAGUGAUCAUAAUAUCACCGAAAGUCAUAGAACAUGUGCUCGAUAUUCAGUUUGGUGCUAAAAUUUUAAAAAUACGGAUUUAUGAUCAUCCAACUUGCAUUCUCGUGCAUCCCUCAAAAAAAAAAACUUGCAUUCUCGUGCAAAUACUUGGUGUAGUGAUUACCCCUUGCGCUUCCACCCUUGAGGUCUAGAGAUCAGUUCUGAUGCUUCCUUGUUUUGCUAGUUUAUCCAUACGCCUACCAACUUCUGGCUUUUGUUUAUAAUUAAAUAAAGUUUAGUUGUGCAUGUUUAACAUCAAUCGGCCAUGGUGGAUGGAAGUACGUUUGAGUGUAUUUUUUAUUUGCAUUUGAGUGUUUUGUUAACGGGUUGUUGGUUUGAACCUCAUCUGAACCAUCUUUUUCCCAUCAUAUUGAGGCCUUUUGCAUGUAAUUAAAUAAAUUUUGAGGGGGUUUUCUAUAAAAAAAAUCUAGCCUGCAAGGGUCACGCAACGCCUUGUGCACUCCUAGCCACUGACAGAUGGGCCUCCGCCAGGCUAGCGCGCCAUGUGAGCAGGCCAUAUGGCUGCAUACGAGCAGAAGCACCGUAUUUGCACGAGAACGUAAGUUGAAUGACCACAAAUCCGUAUUUUCAAUGUUUUAGCACCAAUCUGAACAUUGAGUGCAAGUUUUAUGACUCCCGAUGAUAUUAUCUUUUGUUCUAGUGUUUUGGAACUUGGCAGAAAUAAAACAGUGCUGCUUGCUUGUGUAGAAAGUGUUUGGUGAAAUGAGAUUUUGCAACAUCCAUCAUAAUAUACUUUACUCUACGCUGCUGCUUACGAAAAUCCAUCAACGCACAUGCUGUCUUCAGUGUUUGUAUUUUGUUGAUUACCUUUUCAGAGUCAGGCAAGUUACUUUUCUUGGUUAUCUCACACAUCAUGCUUGCCUGAUUUGGUUUCUAUAUAUGCAGGCAAUAUAUACUCCCUCCGUUCCAAAAUAGAACAUCGAGGGAGUAGUACUUUACUACUGUACAUGCUGGUGCGUAUGGACACUACAAGACGGCCGGUGUUACGAGGCGUUAUAAAAGGGAAAAAUUCAAAAUAAAUCUUGAAGUUGUAGACGAAAGCUAAAUCAAACCCUAAACUUUGAAUCCCGGAAAUUGGUACUCUAAACUUGUAAUCCCAGUCUAUUUUGGACCCUAGACCAGUUUGGCACACCGAGAAGAUUACAAUCUCGGCCGGGAUUUCAGCUACUCUCACGGACUAGAAUUUGGGUCGGCCCACUAUAACACAACAAGAAUUCGUGAGGUUUAAAAAAAUGUUCGCACAUUUCUAAAAUUGCUCAAAAGUUAAAAAUGUUUCUGUUUUCUAUUUUUUGCACCAAUUCAAUUCGUUUUGUGUUUUUAAAAACUGUUUGGAAUUUCGUGUUUCGCACAAAAUCAAC